Non-coding RNA from Vicugna pacos (alpaca), 185 nucleotides. The record is from RefSeq and is a predicted model, not a curated record. Lineage: Eukaryota; Metazoa; Chordata; Mammalia; Artiodactyla; Camelidae.
AGAGUUAGAGAAGCAUUCGUGAUAAUUCUUCAAACGAAGGUAUCCAGCAGCCUCGGCAUGUUUGGGAGAUGAAGAAGGGAAGGUGUUUGUCCUUGGUCCCCUGUUCUCGUCCUGCAGAUGAGAGGGCUUUCUUUGCUUAUUUUUAUUUCCCUCUGGGCAUAUCUGAAAAAUGGCUGAAAUCCCAG